UUUGGUGGUCAUAGCGUGAGUGAAACACCCGGUCCCAUCCCGAACCCGGCAGUUAAGCACCACCGCGCCAAUGGUACUGCGUCUUAAGACGUGGGAGAGUAGGUCACCGCCAAUCCAAAUAAUCAAAACUUUCUCCAUAUUACGGUC
This 147-nucleotide ribosomal RNA is filed under the name Planktotalea frisia. Lineage: Bacteria; Pseudomonadati; Pseudomonadota; Alphaproteobacteria; Rhodobacterales; Paracoccaceae. The record is from RNAcentral.